UGUACCCCGAACCCUGAAGAAGGUGGUUUCUCAUUUCACUGACAUUAGCUGUAGCCAAUGGGACACCUAUCCUGUCCUCAGCAGGAAAAGACUUCAAAAAUGUGCAUCACAGAUAUUUCCCAAAAAUACGAGCGACAGCAGUAACUUCGAGAUUGCUCAAAUUGACAUGGAUAUUUUCACCGAAUAUCAUCAAGAUGAGUGUGACAAGAAACACAUGCUAAGACGGAUGGGGAGAUCCUGACAUGACGUUGAUGACAAGUCCCUCCCCCUUCUUCCAUAGUGCCAUGACCUCAGAUACCCAGCAGAUGUCGCUUUGGGGCCAUAGGUGGCAGCUGAAGCAUAGGAGAAAAAAGAACGAAGAAUCCAUGAAAAGAUGAAAAUCCAUUGGAAUUUUACAUCUUCGAAGGAGAAGCCCUCGGACGCACUUCUAGCCGUCCUUGAUGUUAUUUCCGAGUAAGUCGCCAACCAAACAGCCCAAACAAAAGAAGCACGUCCUUGCGAUCUCAGACAGAUCAGGCGCAAAAAGCGAAUAAAAUCCAUGGUUACAAGCGAAAAAUCAGAAGUAAAACUUACAUUGGCAUGAUGCUAGGUAUGAAGUUACUGCAAGCAGCAACAGAA
Molecule: long non-coding RNA, 618 nt
Organism: Alosa sapidissima (American shad)
Lineage: Eukaryota; Metazoa; Chordata; Actinopteri; Clupeiformes; Clupeidae
Exons: 3
Source: RefSeq, a predicted model, not a curated record